GGAAGGAACUAACAGGGAUUCCCCUAGUAACUGCGAGUGAAGCGGGAAAAGCUCAAAUUUAAAAUCUGGUAGUCUCUGGCUGCCCGAGUUGUAAUCUAGAGAAGCGUUAUCCGCGCUGGACCGUGUAUAAGUCUCCUGGAAUGGAGCGUCAUAGAGGGUGAGAAUCCCGUCUUUGACACGGACUACCAGGGCUUUGUGAUGCGCUCUCAAAGAGUCGAGUUGUUUGGGAAUGCAGCUCUAAAUGGGUGGUAAAUUCCAUCUAAAGCUAAAUAUUGGCGAGAGACCGAUAGCGAACAAGUACCGUGAGGGAAAGAUGAAAAGAACUUUGGAAAGAGAGUUAAACAGUACGUGAAAUUGUUGAAAGGGAAACGCUUGAAGUCAGUCGCGUUGGCUAGGAAUCAGCCUUGCUUUUGCUCGGUGUACUUCCUUGUUAACGGGUCAGCAUCAAUUUUGACCGGUGGAAAAGGGCCAGUUGAAUGUGGCAUCUCCGGAUGUGUUAUAGCUUCUGGUCGUAUGCAUCGGUUGGGAUUGAGGAACUCAGCACGCCGAAAGGUCGGGGUUCGCCCACGUUCGUGCUUAGGAUGCUGGCAUAAUGGCUUUAAUCGACCCGUCUUGAAACACGGACCAAGGAGUCUAACAUGCCUGCGAGUGUUUGGGUGGAAAACCCGAGCGCGUAAUGAAAGUGAAAGUUGAGAUCCCUGUCGCGGGGAGCAUCGACGCCCGGACCAGACCUUCUGUGACGGUUCCGCGGUAGAGCAUGUAUGUUGGGACCCGAAAGAUGGUGAACUAUGCCUGAAUAGGGUGAAGCCAGAGGAAACUCUGGUGGAGGCUCGUAGCGAUUCUGACGUGCAAAUCGAUCGUCAAAUUUGGGUAUAGGGGCGAAAGACUAAUCGAACCAUCUAGUAGCUGGU
This 911-nucleotide ribosomal RNA is filed under the name Clitopilus sp. Its description in RNAcentral is "partial large subunit ribosomal RNA". It matches the Rfam family "Eukaryotic large subunit ribosomal RNA", at positions 56 to 955 of the family's 3401-position model. Lineage: Eukaryota; Fungi; Basidiomycota; Agaricomycetes; Agaricales; Entolomataceae. The record is from RNAcentral.